Molecule: ribosomal RNA, 775 nt
Filed under: uncultured Neocallimastigales
Lineage: Eukaryota; Fungi; Neocallimastigomycota; Neocallimastigomycetes; Neocallimastigales
Description: partial large subunit ribosomal RNA
Rfam family: Eukaryotic large subunit ribosomal RNA
Source: RNAcentral
UAUCAGUCAUGCAUAGCAUAUCAAUAAGCGGAGGAAAAGAAACUAACAAGGAUUCCCUUAGUAACGGCGAGUGAAGCGGGAAGAGCUCAAAUUUGAAAUCUUCAAGGUUCUACCUUGACGAAUUGUAGUUUAUAGAAGUGUUUUCUGUUAGUGGAGUGGCAAAAGUUCUUUGGAAUAGGACAUCAUAGAGGGUGAGAAUCCCGUAUUUGGUCAUUCCUCCUAGCGUUGUGAUACACUUUCAACGAGUCGGAUUGUUUGGGAAUGCAGUCCAAAAUGGGUGGUAAAUUUCAUCUAAAGCUAAAUAUUGGCGAGAGACCGAUAGCGAACAAGUACCGUGAGGGAAAGAUGAAAAGAACUUUGAAAAGAGAGUUAAACAGUACGUGAAAUUGUCAAAAGGGAAGCGUUUGACACCAGUGUUGUUCUUCCGAAAAUCAAUUACGAAUGUUUUAGUUUUUGAGGAGUUAUGACUUCAUCGGCUUGCUCCUUUCUUUAUGAAACUUUCUUAAUGCACUUUUCGGUUAACAAGUCAACAUCAAUUUCUUUUGUUGUAAAAGGGUAUGAGGAAGGUGGCUUUCUUUUCGGAGAAAGUGUUUAUAGCCUUGUAGCCUCUGCAAUCGGAGAGAUUGAGGUCUGCAGCGUAGAUCCUUCGGGGUUAGAUACAUUUGUGCUAAGUUAUAGCUUUUCAUAGACAACUUGUUGACUAUGUUUAGUCUUGUAGCUUACUCGCUUAUGCUAUUUUACCUACGCUUAGGAUGUUGAUCUCUCACAGUCGAGC